Long non-coding RNA from Neofelis nebulosa (Clouded leopard), 640 nucleotides. RefSeq lists it as uncharacterized. The transcript is spliced from 6 exons. The record is from RefSeq and is a predicted model, not a curated record. Lineage: Eukaryota; Metazoa; Chordata; Mammalia; Carnivora; Felidae.
CAUGGAUUGAGAAGGGCCAGCCAGGACUACUGAGGAGCCCACAGGGCGUGAUCUGCUUUUUCAUCAGCUGUCUGCUAAAAUAUGUACCUGGAUUUGCGCCAAAGUUUCUUGAAGGAGUUGUGAAAAGCAGUAUAAUUAAAACGAAAUUAGCCAUGAAUUUAUAAUUGUUAAAGCUAGGUUGGCCCUUCCCUAAAUUCAGAGACAGGAGCCACCAUGGUUUUUGAAUUCCCAUUUGCUCGUACCAUGUUGGAAACACAGACAGCCAACGCGUAGCAUUUCGGAAGUCUAGUAGCACUCACUUCAGCUCUUCACAUGGACAAGUUGUGGCUGGCCAAAAUCUAGGAUGGUUCUCCAUCACUCAGCAUUCAAGGUUUUCCCACUACCAUGUGGAAUUAUUUAUGACAUCUAAGAAACUAUUUAACCACAUUGGCAAUAUACAUUGACUACUACUCCUUUACUCUUCCCUGGAAAGACUGAAGAGUCCUCAGGUCUGCUGUCAUGUGAGACAACAGCAUGCAGAAACCCUCUGCAAGCCAUGAAGAAACCACACCAGAAUCUGAUGUUGUCAGACCCUGAUCUUGAACUUCCAACCUCCAGAACUUUAAGAAAAUAAAUCUCUGUUGUUUAAGCUGCACUUAGG